Molecule: transfer RNA, 66 nt
Filed under: Cucujoidea sp. 17 KM-2017
Lineage: Eukaryota; Metazoa; Arthropoda; Insecta; Coleoptera
Description: tRNA-His
Source: RNAcentral
AUUUAAUUAGUUUAAUAAAAAUAUUGAUUUGUGGAGUCAAAGAUGUAAAAAUUUUUAUAUUAAAUA